This 480-nucleotide ribosomal RNA is filed under the name uncultured bacterium. Its description in RNAcentral is "bacterial SSU rRNA". It matches the Rfam family "Bacterial small subunit ribosomal RNA", at positions 28 to 534 of the family's 1533-position model. The record is from RNAcentral.
GAUGAACGCUGGCGGCGUGCUUAACACAUGCAAGUCGAACGUGAGAAUAGCAAUAUUUGAAAGUGGCAAACGGGUGAGUAACACGUGGGAACCUGCCUCGAAGUGGGGGAUAACGAUUGGAAACGGUCGCUAAUACCGCACGGUUCUGCUCUGAUGGGAAUGGAGCAGAUAAAGAUUUAUCGCUUUGAGAGGGGCCCGCGGCCGAUUAGGCUAGUUGGUAAGGUAAAGGCUUACCAAGGCGAUUAUCGGUAGCUGGUCUGAGAGGACGAUCAGCCACACGGGAACUGAGACACGGUCCCGACUCCUACGGGGGGCAGCAGUGAGGAAUAUUGGGCAAUGGGCGAAAGCCUGACCCAGCAACGCCGCGUGGAGGAUGAAGGCUUUAGGGUUGUAAACUCCUUUUGUGGGGAAAAGAUGGAUGGUACCCCAAGAAUAAGUCCGGCUAACUACGUGCCAGCAGCCGCGGUAAGACGUAUGUGU